RNAcentral lists this ribosomal RNA (492 nucleotides) under uncultured bacterium. RNAcentral describes it as "partial 16S ribosomal RNA". It matches the Rfam family "Bacterial small subunit ribosomal RNA", at positions 28 to 507 of the family's 1533-position model. The record is from RNAcentral.
AACGAACGCUGGCGGCAUGCCUAACACAUGCAAGUCGAACGGCAGCACAGUAAUGGGGGUCUCUGAGGGGCGGCGAGUGGAGUACGGGGGAGGUAUACAGCGCAUGCUACCGGGACGUGGGGGGUAACGUAGGGAAACUUCCGCUAAGACAUCAUUGGUCCUAGGUGGGAGUGCAGGGGAUUGUCGGGCCUUGGGUGGUUGAACGAGCCGACGUCGGGUUGGCUGGUUGGCGGGGUAAAGGGGCACCAAGGCGACGCUGGGUAGCUGGUCUGAGCGGAUGAUCACCCACACUGGAACUGAGACACGGUACAGACUCCUACGGGAGGCCGCAGUGCGGAAUAUUGGACGAUGGGGGCAAGACUGAUCCAGCCAUACCGGGUGGGUGCAGAAGCCCUUCGGGUGGGAAAGCGCUUUUGUUGGGAAAGACAAGCAGCAGGUUAAUCCCAGGCUGUUCUGACGGUACCCAAAGAAUAAGCACCGGCUAACUUCGUG